GAUGAACGCUAGCGGGAGGCCUAACACAUGCAAGCCGAGCGGUAUUGUUUCUUCGGAAAUGAGAGAGCGGCGUACGGGUGCGUAACACGUGUGCAACCUGCCUUUAUCUGGGGGAUAGCCUUUCGAAAGGAAGAUUAAUACUCCAUAAUAUAUUGAACGGCAUCGUUUAAUAUUGAAAGCUCCGGCGGAUAGAGAUGGGCACGCGCAAGAUUAGCUAGUUGGUGAGGUAACGGCUCACCAAGGCGAUGAUCUUUAGGGGGCCUGAGAGGGUGGUCCCCCACACUGGUACUGAGACACGGACCAGACUCCUACGGGAGGCAGCAGUGAGGAAUGGUGGUCAAUGGGUGCAAGCCUGAACCAGCCAUCCCGCGUGAAGGACGACUGCCCUAUGGGUUGUAAACUUCUUUUGUAUAGGGAUAAACCUACCCUCGUGAGGGUAGCUGAAGGUACUAUACGAAUAAGCACCGGCUAACUCCGUGCCAGCAGCCGCCGCCG
RNAcentral lists this ribosomal RNA (495 nucleotides) under uncultured bacterium. Its description in RNAcentral is "partial 16S ribosomal RNA". It matches the Rfam family "Bacterial small subunit ribosomal RNA", at positions 28 to 523 of the family's 1533-position model. The record is from RNAcentral.